Molecule: ribosomal RNA, 706 nt
Filed under: Staphylococcus aureus
Lineage: Bacteria; Bacillati; Bacillota; Bacilli; Caryophanales; Staphylococcaceae
Description: partial 23S ribosomal RNA
Rfam family: Bacterial large subunit ribosomal RNA
Source: RNAcentral
AGGUUGAAGUUUAGGUAACACUGAAUGGAGGACCGAACCGACUUACGUUGAAAAGUGAGCGGAUGAACUGAGGGUAGCGGAGAAAUUCCAAUCGAACCUGGAGAUAGCUGGUUCUCUCCGAAAUAGCUUUAGGGCUAGCCUCAAGUGAUGAUUAUUGGAGGUAGAGCACUGUUUGGACGAGGGGCCCCUCUCGGGUUACCGAAUUCAGACAAACUCCGAAUGCCAAUUAAUUUAACUUGGGAGUCAGAACAUGGGUGAUAAGGUCCGUGUUCGAAAGGGAAACAGCCCAGACCACCAGCUAAGGUCCCAAAAUAUAUGUUAAGUGGAAAAGGAUGUGGCGUUGCCCAGACAACUAGGAUGUUGGCUUAGAAGCAGCCAUCAUUUAAAGAGUGCGUAAUAGCUCACUAGUCGAGUGACACUGCGCCGAAAAUGUACCGGGGCUAAACAUAUUACCGAAGCUGUGGAUUGUCCUUUGGACAAUGGUAGGAGAGCGUUCUAAGGGCGUUGAAGCAUGAUCGUAAGGACAUGUGGAGCGCUUAGAAGUGAGAAUGCCGGUGUGAGUAGCGAAAGACGGGUGAGAAUCCCGUCCACCGAUUGACUAAGGUUUCCAGAGGAAGGCUCGUCCGCUCUGGGUUAGUCGGGUCCUAAGCUGAGGCCGACAGGCGUAGGCGAUGGAUAACAGGUUGAUAUUCCUGUACCACCUAUA